This 170-nucleotide ribosomal RNA is filed under the name Salmonella enterica subsp. enterica serovar Adelaide. RNAcentral's name for it is "partial 23S ribosomal RNA". It matches the Rfam family "Bacterial large subunit ribosomal RNA", at positions 1 to 162 of the family's 2925-position model. Lineage: Bacteria; Pseudomonadati; Pseudomonadota; Gammaproteobacteria; Enterobacterales; Enterobacteriaceae. The record is from RNAcentral. RNAcentral also lists the same sequence under 1 other name.
GGGUUGUGAGGUUAAGCGACUAAGCGUACACGGUGGAUGCCCUGGCAGUCAGAGGCGAUGAAGGACGUGCUAAUCUGCGAUAAGCGCCGGUAAGGUGAUAUGAACCGUUAUAACCGGCGAUUUCCGAAUGGGGAAACCCAGUGUGAUUCGUCACACUAUCAUUAACUGAA